AUUGAACGCUGGCGGCAGGCCUAACACGUGCAAGUCGAGCGGAUGAAGGGAGCUUGCUCCUGGAUUCAGCGGCGGACGGGUGAGUAAUGCCUAGGAAUCUGCCUGGUAGUGGGGGAUAACGUCCGGAAACGGGCGCUAAUACCGCAUACGUCCUGAGGGAGAAAGUGGGGAUCUUCGGACCUCACGCUAUCAGAUGAGCCUAGGUCGGAUUAGCUAGUUGGUGGGGUAAAGGCCUACCAAGGCGACGAUCCGUAACUGGUCUGAGAGGAUGAUCAGUCACACUGGAACUGAGACACGGUCCAGACUCCUACGGGAGGCAGCAGUGGGGAAUAUUGGACAAUGGGCGAAAGCCUGAUCCAGCCAUGCCGCGUGUGUGAAGAAGGUCUUCGGAUUGUAAAGCACUUUAAGUUGGGAGGAAGGGCAGUAAGUUAAUACCUUGCUGUUUUGACGUUACCAACAGAAUAAGCACCGGCUAACUUCGUG
RNAcentral lists this ribosomal RNA (483 nucleotides) under uncultured bacterium. RNAcentral describes it as "partial 16S ribosomal RNA". It matches the Rfam family "Bacterial small subunit ribosomal RNA", at positions 30 to 507 of the family's 1533-position model. The record is from RNAcentral.